RNAcentral lists this ribosomal RNA (189 nucleotides) under uncultured bacterium. RNAcentral's name for it is "partial 16S ribosomal RNA". It matches the Rfam family "Bacterial small subunit ribosomal RNA", at positions 326 to 540 of the family's 1533-position model. The record is from RNAcentral.
ACGCUCGACACCUACGGAAGGCAGCAGUGGGGAAUAUUGCACAAUGGGGGAAACCCUGAUGCAGCGACGCCGCGUGAGCGAAGAAGUAUUUCGGUAUGUAAAGCUCUAUCAGCAGGGAAGAAACUGACGGUACCUGACUAAGAAGCACCGGCUAAAUACGUGCCAGCAGCGNGUAUNGNGCGGNUGNAG